UGCGACCUCAGGUCAGGCGGGGCUAA
This 26-nucleotide ribosomal RNA is filed under the name Stenanthemum complicatum. Its description in RNAcentral is "partial 26S ribosomal RNA". RNAcentral also lists the same sequence under 4 other names. The record is from RNAcentral. Lineage: Eukaryota; Viridiplantae; Streptophyta; Magnoliopsida; Rosales; Rhamnaceae.